Molecule: ribosomal RNA, 407 nt
Filed under: uncultured bacterium
Lineage: Bacteria
Description: partial 16S ribosomal RNA
Rfam family: Bacterial small subunit ribosomal RNA
Source: RNAcentral
AUUGAACGCUGGCGGCAGGCCUAACACAUGCAAGUCGAGCGGAGCGGCGGACGGGUGAGUAUUGCUUAGGAAUCUGCCUGGUAGUGGUGGAUAACGUCCGGAAACGGGCGCUAAUACCGCUUCCUCUCACCUUAGCCUAGGUCGGAUUAGCUUGUGGGUGGGUUAAGGGCCUACCAAGGCGACGAUCCUUAACUGGUCUGAGAGGAUGAUCAGUAACACUGGAACUGAGACACGGUCCAGACUCCUACGGGAGGCAGCAGUGGGGAAUAUUGGACAAUGGGCGAAAGCCUGAUCCAGCCAUGCGGCGUGUGUGAAGAAGGUCUUCGGAUUGUAAAGCACUUUAAGUUGGGAGGCGUUACCAACAGAAUAAGCACCGGCUAACUUCGUGCCAGCCGCCGCGGUAAUAC